ACGAGUGGCGGACGGGUGAGUAAUGUCUGGGAAACUGCCUGAUGGAGGGGGAUAACUACUGGAAACGGUGGCUAAUACCGCAUAACGUCGCAAGACCAAAGAGGGGGACCUUCGGGCCUCUUGCCAUCAGAUGUGCCCAGAUGGGAUUAGCUUGUUGGUGAGGUAACGGCUCACCAAGGCGACGAUCCCUAGCUGGUCUGAGAGGAUGACCAGCCACACUGGAACUGAGACACGGUCCAGACUCCUACGGGAGGCAGCAGUGGGGAAUAUUGCACAAUGGGCGCAAGCCUGAUGCAGCCAUGCCGCGUGUAUGAAGAAGGCCUUCGGGUUGUAAAGUACUUUCAGCGGGGAGGAAGGUGUUGUGGUUAAUAACCGCAGCAAUUGACGUUACCCGCAGAAGAAGCACCGGCUAACUCCGUGCCAGCAGCCGCGGUAAUACGGAGGGUGCAAGCGUUAAUCGGAAUUACUGGGCGUAAAGCGCACGCAGGCGGUCUGUCAAGUCGGAUGUGAAAUCCCCGGGCUCAACCUGGGAACUGCAUUCGAAACUGGCAGGCUUGAGUCUUGUAGAGGGGGGUAGAAUUCCAGGUGUAGCGGUGAAAUGCGUAGAGAUCUGGAGGAAUACCGGUGGCGAAGGCGGCCCCCUGGACAAAGACUGACGCUCAGGUGCGAAAGCGUGGGGAGCAAACAGGAUUAGAUACCCUGGUAGUCCACGCCGUAAACGAUGUCUACUUGGAGGCUGUGCCCUUGAGGCGUGGCUUCCGGAGCUAACGCGUUAAGUAGACCGCCUGGGGAGUACGGCCGCAAGGUUAAAACUCAAAUGAAUUGACGGGGGCCCGCACAAGCGGUGGAGCAUGUGGUUUAAUUCGAUGCAACGCGAAGAACCUUACCUGGUCUUGACAUCCACAGAAGUUUGCAGAGAUGCGAAUGUGCCUUCGGGAACUGUGAGACAGGUGCUGCAUGGCUGUCGUCAGCUCGUGUUGUGAAAUGUUGGGUUAAGUCCCGCAACGAGCGCAACCCUUAUCCUUUGUUGCCAGCGGUUAGGCCGGGAACUCAAAGGAGACUGCCAGUGAUAAACU
This 1076-nucleotide ribosomal RNA is filed under the name Salmonella enterica. Its description in RNAcentral is "bacterial SSU rRNA". It matches the Rfam family "Bacterial small subunit ribosomal RNA", at positions 91 to 1164 of the family's 1533-position model. Lineage: Bacteria; Pseudomonadati; Pseudomonadota; Gammaproteobacteria; Enterobacterales; Enterobacteriaceae. The record is from RNAcentral.